GAUGAACGCUGGCGGCGUGCCUAAUACAUGCAAGUCGAGCGAACGGACGAGAAGCUUGCUUCUCUGAUGUUAGCGGCGGACGGGUGAGUAACACGUGGAUAACCUACCUAUAAGACUGGGAUAACUUCGGGAAACCGGAGCUAAUACCGGAUAAUAUUUUGAACCGCAUGGUUCAAAAGUGAAAGACGGUCUUGCUGUCACUUAUAGAUGGAUCCGCGCUGCAUUAGCUAGUUGGUAAGGUAACGGCUUACCAAGGCAACGAUGCAUAGCCGACCUGAGAGGGUGAUCGGCCACACUGGAACUGAGACACGGUCCAGACUCCUACGGGAGGCAGCAGUAGGGAAUCUUCCGCAAUGGGCGAAAGCCUGACGGAGCAACGCCGCGUGAGUGAUGAAGGUCUUCGGAUCGUAAAACUCUGUUAUUAGGGAAGAACAUAUGUGUAAGUAACUGUGCACAUCUUGACGGUACCUAAUCAGAAAGCCACGGCUAACUACGUGCCAGCAGCCGCGGUAAUACGUAGGUGGCAAGCGUUAUCCGGAAUUAUUGGGCGUAAAGCGCGCGUAGGCGGUUUUUUAAGUCUGAUGUGAAAGCCCACGGCUCAACCGUGGAGGGUCAUUGGAAACUGGAAAACUUGAGUGCAGAAGAGGAAAGUGGAAUUCCAUGUGUAGCGGUGAAAUGCGCAGAGAUAUGGAGGAACACCAGUGGCGAAGGCGACUUUCUGGUCUGUAACUGACGCUGAUGUGCGAAAGCGUGGGGAUCAAACAGGAUUAGAUACCCUGGUAGUCCACGCCGUAAACGAUGAGUGCUAAGUGUUAGGGGGUUUCCGCCCCUUAGUGCUGCAGCUAACGCAUUAAGCACUCCGCCUGGGGAGUACGACCGCAAGGUUGAAACUCAAAGGAAUUGACGGGGACCCGCACAAGCGGUGGAGCAUGUGGUUUAAUUCGAAGCAACGCGAAGAACCUUACCAAAUCUUGACAUCCUUUGACAACUCUAGAGAUAGAGCCUUCUCCUUCGGGGGACAAAGUGACAGGUGGUGCAUGGUUGUCGUCAGCUCGUGUCGUGAGAUGUUGGGUUAAGUCCCGCAACGAGCGCAACCCUUAAGCUUAGUUGCCAUCAUUAAGUUGGGCACUCUAAGUUGACUGCCGGUGACAAACCGGAGGAGGGUGGGGAUGACGUCAAAUCAUCAUGCCCCUUAUGAUUUGGGCUACACACGUGCUACAAUGGACAAUACAAAGGGCAGCGAAACCGCGAGGUCAAGCAAAUCCCAUAAAGUUGUUCUCAGUUCGGAUUGUAGUCUGCAACUCGACUACAUGAAGCUGGAAUCGCUAGUAAUCGUAGAUCAGCAUGCUACGGUGAAUACGUUCCCGGGUCU
This 1372-nucleotide ribosomal RNA is filed under the name uncultured bacterium. RNAcentral describes it as "bacterial SSU rRNA". It matches the Rfam family "Bacterial small subunit ribosomal RNA", at positions 28 to 1381 of the family's 1533-position model. The record is from RNAcentral.